UAAUACCCCUGUCAAGCGGGCAAGUUAAGUGCACUUAUGGGGAGUGCACUUCGGGACCUUGAGUCACACUUUAGGCAACGCGCUUCUUAACGGGAAAACAGAAUGCACUCGCAGUAAAAAAAAAAAAAAAAAAUGGCGACAGACUAAGAGCGCGUUUUUAAAGAGGUAAGUUAACAAGAGAAAGCUGCUAAAAAGCGAUUGUUUUAAGUAGAAUUAUAUAUAACAACAAACUUCAUCUAUUUGUCUCAACAAGAAACGAAGAUGUUUUUAUAAUAAGUGUGUUGCAAGUCAAUGCUGGCCAAGACGAAUGCCUAGCCAAUCCAAAACAACACGGCGGCGUGCGGCAGUUGAUUCUGCUCAUGAUCCUGCUAGAACAGAAUAUGAGCGAGUAUAUAUGAGCAAAGACGGCGAGUUCGAUAUUUAGCUACACUGCAAAAUGCCACGCACACGGCUCAAAGCACGACUGGCAUGGUCAGCACGCUUUCACACGAAAAUAAACACGUACUGAAUAAACAUGGCGGUGCCGCAGUGCCGCAUCAUUCUGGCGCCGUUAGUUGCUUACAUGAUAAAUUCGUUUCUUAAUUGUGCUGUUUCGCUUGUCGCUAAACACAAAUUAUAUUGUUAAAAGCUGCUCAAUAACUGAAAUGAACUUUUGUGUCCUUUUUCUAUGCAUUACAUUUUGCGUCGUUGAAAGCGUUGGUGGCGAGGCUAGGCACUCCUUCAAACCGUUGGCGGCGAGGCUACGCACUUGGCCAGCAAAGUGCGUUCCGUAAACGUACUCCGACUUGAGUGCACUCAUCUGAGAGUACACUCCGCUGCGACGUUAAGAUUUGGGAAAGUACACUUACAAACCGAGUGCACUCGCCGUAAGUGCACUUAACUUGCCCGCUUGACAGGGGUAUAAACCACUGCCGGCAACAAGUGCCCUUCAAGUCCUACCGCACCUGCACGCGCACUCCGAGGAGAGCCGUAUGUGUAUAAAGGCAGCCACCGCCGACAGGCCCGUGGGCGGAUGGGCUUUCUGUGCGAUGCAGCGGAAGGGAGAUGCUCCCCAGAAAGGGUGAGGCGCGGGGCAGGCUAAUCUCUCUCGCUGGGGUUGUUUGACAAAGAGACGACAAAGGAGAGGGAACGCGAUUGUGUUGAGCCGGCAGCGUACACAAGCGUCACGGACAUGAAGCUUGCUCCUACCCCUCUCUCACCUCUUAACCUUAUACCCUCUCUCACUCCCUCUCUAGUCACUGGGCCGUGCCCCCAAAUGGGAGGAAGAAACCAGUGGCUAUUCUAACAUUCGCCGGACCAAGCCAACGCGUGAACCAAGCAGAAUUCCGCCAGCCUCGAGAACGGACAUAUUCCCAAACGGCAUACAUCCAACAUCCAUGGAGCGUGACCUCAGUAGGGACUUGCAAAAGCUUCGUUUAGACGCCGCCGGCACUGAUGCGCAGGCAGAUGGAGGAAACAUCGCCGACAAGGAGCCGACCCCCGAAGCCCUUGGUCCGGACGAUCGCAUUUGUCCAGAGGAUGAGUUGUCUGUUUGCUCACACUGCCCACACCCGCCACCGGCUUGUCGCAGCUCGGUUUGCUACAUGGAACGAAUGGUCCGGGUGCACUCUCAAGAUUACCGACACACUUCGUUCCCGGAAUGCUAUCGCGACAUGUGGUGGCGUUGCAACAUAAAAAUGUGGCGUGCAGGCUGUGGAACCACGGGGUUUCCAUGGGAGCGUCGACGGGCGGCUCGCCGCAACGUCUUGGAACGGCAGCCGCCGCAGUCCGAGUGCUAACAUGGUUCCAAGAGGACUUCACCCAGAAGAAUAGCCAAGGAGUCAGCCUGAAAUGGAAAUACCACAACGUUGGUGUGCUCAGCAAGCUGUACACAGAGCAAAAGAUGUACUGGAUGCAUUGUAUUGUUUUGCAGCUUUACUGAGAGAACCACAACUCCAACUAGGUUUCAUCGAAAAACGCCAUGGCUUUUUUUUAAAUUAAGAGCUGCAAAAUCUUCCCAUAUUAAUGCUGCAUGCAUUGCACAGUUGCAUAGUCCCCUGCUAUACAUGUGAUGUCCAUACAGUUUAAUGUGGCCAGAAAAGAAUGGACUUUGACAUAUUUCUAUGCAAAACAAAAUUUAUGACUUGCAAACUUAGUUAAGCAAUUCUUAAAAAGGUCUGCUUGAUUUCAUUCUCUUCAAGAGGCAUUGCUCCAUAUAUAUAUGGAGCAAUGCCUUUUGAAGAGAAUGAAAUCAAGCAGACCUUGUUGCUCACAUAACAUGCAGUAGGCUUUUAUUUGUAGAGCAGAUCUUGCAGCUUGAGGAGCAGUUGUGAACCACCUCCAGCUCCUGAGAAUCGCUUGGGCGGCUGGACAAUACUCCUGACAGAAAACAUCCUAUAUAUAAAGAGGGAUUGCUUGACUGUUGUAGGUCCUCCGGCAACAUGUCCGAAAAAAAAUGCUUCAGUAUUUACCUCACAAGCUGGAAAAUGCACUUGUUUGCCUCUAAUGGGUUUUGUCCAAUCUUUCCCACCAGUACAAGGCGAAAACCUGCUGCAAGAAGGUUCUAAACAAGGGAUAUUGUACUUAGCAGGGUUAAUCUUAGAGCCUCGGAUGUGGGCAAAGCAGAUCUGCCUCUGCUUUGGCAGAAUUUGUAGUGGCAGCAGUUGCCUAUCCAUGCAACGCUCUCUUUCAGUGUAUGUGAAGUAAUAGUUUUCUGCGAGAAAUCAGACGUAUGUAUGAGGCCAAAAGCAUAGUUCUUACAGCAGCCUGCUCAGCUUCGUUUUACUGCUUAUGAUGGUCCUCCGAGAGUUGAAGUAGUCAAAUAAUCUGUUCAUUCUUCUGGUGAAUUCAGAUGUUGCUGCAGACUCAUGGAGCUUUUUGCAUGCUUCCUGCUCACUGUAGAAAUCCGUGGCUAUAGCUGUGAAUUGGAAAUAAAAUUUUUUCGUCGCA
Long non-coding RNA from Dermacentor andersoni, 2928 nucleotides. RefSeq lists it as uncharacterized. Lineage: Eukaryota; Metazoa; Arthropoda; Arachnida; Ixodida; Ixodidae. The record is from RefSeq and is a predicted model, not a curated record.